UCAAGAAACUUCCACAAUGGGCGAAAGCCUGAUGGAGCGACGUCGCGUGAUGGACGAAGUGCUUCGGCACGUAAACAUCUUUUAUGUGGGAUGAAAUUAUUGACAGUACCACAUGAAUAAGGGGCUCCUAACUCUGUGCCAGCAGGAGCGGUAAUACAGAGGCCCCAAGCGUUAUCCGGAAUCACUGGGCGUAAAGGGUGUCGAGGCGGUUGUAUUAGUCGUUCGUAAAAUCUACGAGCUUAACUUGUAGGCGGCGAACGAAACGGUACGACUUGAGGUUUGGAGAGGUGCGUGGAACUCACGGUGUAGGGGUGAAAUCCGUUGAUAUCGUGGGGAACACCAAAGGCGAAGGCAGCGCACUGGCCAAAAUCUGACGCUCACACACGAAAGCUAGGGUAGCGAAGAGGAUUAGAUACUCAGGUAGUCCCUGAGCGGGCUGGCAAGGCGCAU
This 450-nucleotide ribosomal RNA is filed under the name uncultured bacterium. RNAcentral describes it as "bacterial SSU rRNA". It matches the Rfam family "Bacterial small subunit ribosomal RNA", at positions 355 to 825 of the family's 1533-position model. The record is from RNAcentral.